This 438-nucleotide long non-coding RNA is filed under the name Zostera marina. RNAcentral's name for it is "long non-coding RNA (ZMAR_LNC004415)". Lineage: Eukaryota; Viridiplantae; Streptophyta; Magnoliopsida; Alismatales; Zosteraceae. The record is from RNAcentral.
UAGACUCACACCUUAGAGUAUCAAGGGCACUCUUAAGAACCUCUAACUUUUGCGGGUAAGUUAGUACCUUAGAGUAUCAAAGAACUCUUAAAAACCACUCUAAGCUUUAAGGCUACUUCGCUUAGAAACCAGUCUUUUACGGGUAGACUCACACCUUAAAAUAUCGAGAGCACUCUUAAGAACCUCUAACUUUUACGGGUAAGUUAGUACCUUAGAGUAUCAAGGAACUCUUAAAAACCUAGAAAUCUUUCAAGGUAGAUUCGACCUAAGAGUUUUUUCGGAAACUCUAUAAAACCAAACUAGAGCUUUAUGGUUGAGCUCGAAAACUUUCUCUCACAUUUUGGUACUAUUGAGACAACCCUCUCAACCAAAGUGGACACACACAAGAGAUGAUUAGAGGAGUGGAAUAUUAAAGCAAACAACACUUCUUACUUGUAA